GGGGGAAAAUUAAUAAAAUAAAAAUAAUAAAAAAAUUUUUAAUAUUGGGGGAUAUUAAAGUAUUUUUUAAAAAAAAAUAAAUUAUUUUAUAAUAAAUUAGUAUUGAAAAAGAAAUUUGAAAUAUUUGAAAAUUAAUUAGUAAAAAAGUAGGUUUAGUUUGGUGUAUCUUGUGUAUCAGAGUUUAUUAAAAAAUAUUUUUUUUUAAGAAAAAUCUCGAAUUUAAAGGAGUUAAUUAAUUAUAAAAGUUAAUGUUGAAAAAUUAUUUUAAAUAAUUAAUUUGAAAUGAAAUGUUAAUCGUUUUUAAAUAUAUCUAGUUAUUUUAGAAAAAAAUUUAAUUUAAAAUUUAAAAAAUUUUAUUUUUAAAUAAAAUUAAAAAUGAAAUAUUUAAAAUUAAAUAUAUAAAGGGAUAAGCUUUUAUAUAAAAAUUUAUAAUAAGUAAAAUUUAAAAUAAAAUUUUUAAAAUUUAUAUUGUUUAAAAAUUAUAGUUUAUUAUAAAAAAUUUUAUUAACGAAAAAAAAUUUAAUAUCAAAUUUAAUUUUAUAUAAAAUAAUAAUUUUAAAAGAAAAAAGAUUGGUAAUAAUGAUAAAAUUAGUAUAGUAUAAUAGAAAAAAAUUUAAUUAUUUUAAAUUAAAUAAAAGGAAUUCGGCAAAAAUUUAUAUUCACUUGUUUAACAAAAACAUGUCUUUUAGUUAAUAAUUAAAAGUCUAAUCUGCCCACUGAUAAUUUAUUAAAGGGCUGCAGUAUAUUGACUGUACAAAGGUAGCAUAAUCAAUAGUCUUUUAAUUGAAGACUUGUAUGAAAGAUUUGAUGAAAUAUAAACUGUCUCUAAUUUAAAAAUAGAACUUAAUUUUUUAGUUAAAAAGCUAAAAUAAAUUUAAAAGACGAGAAGACCCUAUAGAGUUUUAUAUAAAAAUUAUUUAAGAUUAUAUAUAUAAUUAAAAAUUAAAAAUAAAAUUUAUAUUAUAUUGGGGUGAUAGGAAAAUUAAAAUAACUUUUUUUGUAUAUUUUUAUCACAAAUAAGUGAUUAAAUUGAUCCAUUUAUUAUGAUUAAAAGAAAAAAUUACCUUAGGGAUAACAGCGUAAUAUUUUUUUUUAGUGCAUAUAAAAAAAAAAGUUUGCGACCUCGAUGUUGGAUUAAGAUAAAAUUUAAAUGCAAAAGUUUAAAAUUUUGAUCUGUUCGAUCAUUAAAAUCUUACAUGAUCUGAGUUCAGACCGGUGUGAGCCAGGUUGGUUUCUAUCUUUAAAAUAAUAAAAUAUUUUAGUACGAAAGGAUCAAAUAUUUUUAAUAAUUAAAAUUUGAUGAAUAUUAAUAAUAUAGUAGAAAU
Molecule: ribosomal RNA, 1325 nt
Filed under: Parasarpa zayla
Lineage: Eukaryota; Metazoa; Arthropoda; Insecta; Lepidoptera; Nymphalidae
Description: 16S ribosomal RNA
Source: RNAcentral